CCCCCCCCAGACAGCCGGUCUGCUUCCGGCUCCUCGGCGCGCACGCGCGGCCGUAGGCGUGUUUUGACAGCUCAGGCCGAGGAGAAGCAGGUGUCGCGAGAGUGGCGGCGCGCCUCCUAGCGAGGGCUGUCAUGGCGAGCGUGGGAAGCGAGGCCGAGCGGGAGCCUCUCCUGGGGCCCCGCUCGCCCAGAAGCAGAGAAUGGGACAUGGUAGAAACACAAGAGCAUUACAAGAGUAGAUGGAGAUCUGUUAGGAUUCUCUACCUCACUAUGUUUCUCAGCAGUGUGGGUUUUUCUAUUGUGAUAAUGUCAAUCUGGCCAUACCUUCAAAAGAUUGAUCAAACAGCCAAUGCAAGUUUUUUAGGCUGGGUUAUUGCUUCAUUUAGUCUUGGCCAAAUGGUAGCUUCACCUCUAUUUGGUUUAUGGUCUAAUUAUAGGCCAAGAAAAGAACCUCUUAUCAUCUCCAUCUUUAUUUCGGUGGUAGCCAACUGCCUAUAUGCAUAUGUCCACGUGCCAGCUGCUCAUAAUAAAUACUACAUGUUGAUUGCUCGUGGAUUGGUGGGAUUUGGAGCAGGAAACGUAGCUGUUGUUCGAGCAUACAUUGCUGGCGCUACUUCCCUUCAGGAGAGAACAAGUGCCAUGGCUAAUACGAGCACAUGCCAAGCCUUGGGCUUUAUUCUGGGUCCAGUUUUUCAGACAUGUCUUGCACUCAUUGGAGAAAAGGGAGUAACGUGGGACACCAUUAAGCUGCAGAUCAACAUGUACACAGCACCAGUUUUACUUAGUGCCUUCCUGGGAAUUGUAAACAUUAUUCUGAUCCUCUUUAUAUUAAGAGAGCAUCGUGUAGAUGACUCAGGACGGCAGUGUAAGAGUGUGAAUUUUCAAGAAGAAAAUACAGAUGAAGUUCAGAUUCCUGAAGGAAGUAUUGAUCAAGUUGCUGUUGUGACUACCAAUAUUCUGUUUUUUGUGGUUUUGUUUAUCUUUGCCCUUUUUGAAACAAUCCUUACUCCAUUAACAAUGGACAUGUAUGCCUGGACCCAGGAGCAGGCUGUGCUCUAUGACGGAAUAAUUCUUGCUGCUCUUGGAGUUGAGGCAGUUGUUGUUUUUAUGGGGGUUAAAUUACUUUCCAAAAAGAUUGAUGAGCGUGCCAUUCUCCUGGGAGGACUCGUGGUUGUAUGGGUUGGCUUCUUUAUCUUGUUACCCUGGGGAAAUCAGUUUCCCAAAGUACAGUGGGAAGAUUUACACAACAGCUCAAUCCCUAAUACUACAUUUGGAGAAAUUAUUAUUGAUCUUUGGAAUUCUCCAAGAGAAGAUUACAGUGAACAGCCAACCGGGUGUCCAAUUGAACAAGCCUGGUGCCUGUACACCCCAGUGAUCCAUCUGGCCCAGUUCCUAACAGCUGCUGUGCUAGUGGGAAUCGGCUAUCCAGCCUGCAAUGUCAUGUCCUAUACAUUAUAUUCAAAAGUUUUAGGACCCAAACCUCAGGGUAUGUACAUGGGCUGGUUGACUGCUUCUGGAAGUGCAGCACGGAUUCUUGGGCCUGUGUUCAUCAGCCAUGUGUACACUUACUUGGGCCCACGAUGGGCAUUCAGCCUUGUGUGUGGAAUAGUGGUGCUCACCAUUUCACUCAUGGGAGCUGUUUACAGAAGACUUAUUGCCUUUUCUGUCAGAUGUGGGAGGAUCCGGGAAUAAACUAGCAGUCUCUGCUGGAUGCUUGCUGCCAACCACCUCCAACUCAGCCUUGAGUAGCAAAAGCAUGUGCUGAGUAACUAACUAUGAAUGAUUACAGAUUCCAGUGCCAAGCAGACACGGUGACCCUGUUACAGAGAAGAAUGCCUCCUGUCAACAGUUCAUGCUUUACCAUGUGACUGUUAACUGGAUGAAAAACAGGGAUCUUCUGGGCUUUGAAAGCAUUUCUACUGAAUGACAUCGUUCUAUUGAGUAUGUUUUUGCUCGAGACUGAUUAGAAGUGCUGGAUCUAUCAGAGGAAUGAGCUCUUCGAAGGUAUCGAGAAUGGGGCCUUCCUUCUGCAUUUUCAAUUAAUCUUUCCCGUCCCCUAUUAUUAGUUUCUUGGUCUGGGUUUCCCCAGUGUGUACAAAAAUUGCUUCCAUCUCCUGAAGAAAAGUCACUUAAAUUCUUAUUUUUUGGAAAUACAGUAAUUUUAUUUGGAAGUGACUGACCAAUCAAAAGUCUUCUUCUGUCAAGUAAGCUACCACUCAAACUGGUACUGGAAGAAGCUGUAAGUGUUGUGGAAAUUGUGGCAUGCCCACUAUCCAUCGAAUCCUCUACAGUCCCCAAGUCUUUACUCUUUGUUGAAGGAUUCCGUGACAUGAAAGGAUGGUCCAACACAGAAGACAGACUUAACCGAUCUGCAGGAUUUCUACGAAGUAACUGGUGGAUAAGGUCCUGAGCCUCUCGUGACAAAAAGGUUGGCAUUUCAUAAUCUGCCAAGACUACUUUAUUCAAUGUGUUCUUGACUGUAUCAGUGUCAAAAGGUGGUCUUCCAAUAAGCAAUGUAUAAAACAUACAGCCCAAUGACCAAAUAUCAGAUUCAAGUCCAUGUGCACUUCGAGUUGCAAUUUCUGGUGAAAUAUAAUUAGGAGUUCCGCAGAGUGUGUAGUGCUUUUCAUGUGGCAUUUUCAAUUGUGUUGCCAGUCCAAAGUCAGCAAUUUUUAUGUUCAUAUUACGUGUAAGUAAGAUGUUAGAGAGUGUGAGGUCCCGAUGUAAUAUGCCAUGAGAAUGAAGAUACAACAUUCCUGUGAUGAUCUGAUGCAUGAAUUGCCUCGCUGUGAAGAUGAACAAAAAAAGAACUUAACAAUUCAAAAGUUACAGAAAAUCCAGUGUUUAGAAUACAUGAUAAAACCUAGCUUAGACUGACCAACUAAAAUAUUACUCUAACUAGGCACACCUUCUAAUCUUUGCUUUUUCCAACUUAUACACUAAGGGAAACCAAAUUUUCUAUCAGUUCACAGUGUGUAGGGUAGCUAGGGUAACCAGAUAUCCAUAAAAGUUAAGGAAAUCAUUGAGGGGCUGGGGAAACGGCGCAGUGGUGAAGAACAUCUGACUGCUCUUCCAAAGCCCUGAGUUAACGCCCAACAACCACAUGGGAUACUAUAACCAUCUGUAAUGGGAUCAGAUUCUUCCUUCUGGUGAGCACCAAGACAGAACACUCACACACAAAUACACGAAUAAAUAAAUCUCAAAGGAAAGUUUUUUAAAUCAUGAAAAACUCAUAAAUAUGUCAGCUGCUAGGGCAAAUCUUAGUUUUAGUUCCUGAGUGCCAAGUAUGAUAAGCAGGCUGCCACAUCCAUCCAAGCAUUUUCAUGGAUGCUGGGGACCAAAUUCCAGUUCUCACACUUGUGUAGCAAGAACUUUACACACAGACUCCACUGUAAACAUUUAAUACAUUUCUUAAUACUUUUCUGCAUGUUUACAUAUAUUUAAAGCUGCAUAUACAUUAUAAUAAAUGUCUUUAAGAUAUAAAAAAUGGUAUAAAAGCUGUUUCAUUACCUUUCUUCAGUGUACAUGUUAGUUAUUUCUCUAACAGAUCUUUAUUUUAUUUAAUUGCUGUUUAAAAUUUAUAUAAUCUCUGACAUUUCAAGAUUACAAAUAAUAUAGGAAUUAACAUUCUUGUGCACACUUAUUUUUUGUGUGUGUUCUUUUUCUACACAUAUAUAUGAAAACAAAAAAGAACUUAACUCAAAAGUUACAGAAAAUCCAGUGUUUAGAAUACAUGAUAAAACCUAGCUUAGACUGACCAACUAAAAUAUUACUCUAACUAGGCACACCUUGUAAUCUUUGCUUUUUCCAACUUAUACACUAAGGGAAACCAAAUUUUAUAUCAGUUCACAGUGUGUAUGUGAAAAUGUGUCAGUUUCAUGCCUUUUUAAAAGGCUAUAUUUUCAUAUAUUCCCUAUUAACAUCAAUUUCAGUGUGUAAAAAUGGUCCUUCACUGUUUUGGUUAGCACCCUCAGGACUAUUUGGUCUGUGAUUUUUAUGUUUAUUGGUUAUUUGAGCUUUCUCCUCAAGGAGAGAGCCAACUCCUCAGAGCUGAUCUCUGACCAUAACACCACAUAACACACAAAUGAAUAAUGAAUACUAAAAACAAUUAGCAGCCUUAUUCCUUAGCUCUAUCUACAAUAUCAAAAUCAGUCAUAGCUUGAAAGGGGGAAAAAACCAGUAGUUUGACAAUAUAUGGACCUUAAUCUGAUUUGGAAAAAUGGGGGGAUGAGUUGAAACACAUUUUGUAUUUCACAGAAAGAUAUUAAUUUGGAAAAGCUUUGUUACUAUGUCCAUUUACGUCUCCACUGUAAAGAUGUAUUACCUGGGGAGUCUGAAUCACCCCAAGAUUUUAAAAGUUGAACAAUAAGCUAAAGGAGUUCCAGCAGAGUGCUCUCAAUGUUUACUUGGAAACUUUAGUCAUCAAACACAUUAUAAGUAGUUUCUAGAUUUGAAAGCAUUUACAGUAAAUUGUUACCAAUGACUUAACUGAAAAUGUGUUUUGGAGAACAGAAGGCUAACAAAUGCCUCUCUCUACUUCUGUGAUAUGAUAUAAAUGCCAGCUUUUGUGGAGACAUGAUUUAAUAAAAUAACAAUUGGAAUAGUUUGAUUUGUGGCUGGAGAGAUGGUUCAGCUGUUGAAGUGCACACUGCUAUUACAGAGGACUCAAGUUCUAUUCCCAGCAUCCAUGGUAACCCUCCAUGGGCAUGGGCACCUACUUGCAUGCACCAUAGACACACACUCAUACGAAUGGCUUAAAAAAGAAGAAAAAGAAACUGUUGAAGCUGAAAGGAUUGCUCAGUGGUUAAAAGUCUUGGCUGAUCUUCCAGAGGACCUUGAUUCCCAAAACCCCAAAGUUGGCUCACAGUCAAGUUCCAGAGGAUACAAAGCCUUUUUAUGCACUCCUUGGGUACCAGACAUACAUACAGGUAAAAUGUAAAUUAAAAUUCUCACGCACUCACACACACCCGGGUGUAGUGGCAUACACUUUUAAUCCCAACACUUGGGAGGCAAAGACAGGAGUCCCUAUGUCAGUUCAAGAUCGGCCUGGUCUAUAUAUUGAGUUCCAGGACAGAAAGCGCUACAUAGUAGACAGACCUUGUCUCAAAACACAAAACAAAUGUUUUACUAAAUAUUACAAAAGAGCACAUUUUCAAAACAACACCUUCAAAAGCUAAGCAAUUACCAAGAUAAAAACUCUUACCUCCCCUCAAGACACCUACCUUCACUUUCUGAGAAAGGUUUCAUUCGGUUCUUUAGAUACCUGUUCAUUUCUCCAUUAUGGCACAUUUCUAAUACCAGGUAUACGUAAUUGUUAUCUUCAAAAUAAUUAUAAAGCUAAAACAGAAAAAGAGUUCAGUCAAUUACACAAACAUCCAGCUUUCUUAACUACUUCUAACACCUUGUAUCUUACCUCCAAAAUAGAAGGGUGUUUCAACUGGCAAUGUAUUUUCACCUCAUUUUGGACUCUCUGUACCAUUCCAGCUUUGUACAUGGCUUUCUUAUCUAUCUAAAAAUAAGAAAGGCCAGAUUUAUUUGAUUUUAAUGAUCCUGUGGUUUGAACCCAGGGUCUUGCGCAUGCUAGAAAAGCACUCUGCCAACACUCUAUACCCCUAAGCCCAAACAAAAGCCCAAACAUCAAUCUAAAAUUGUCUGAAGUCUUUUUAUGUCUUUGAAGUCAACUUACUCUUCUCUAUGUUUAACCCUUGUACCUAGAAGAAGGAAUUUUCUGUAUGUCCAGUGUGUUUAUGUUACAAGAGGUUGGCUUUGAACUUCUGAUCUUCAUUUUUCCAACUCCUCAGAGCUGUGAUAACAAGCAUGCCACACCAUGCUUGACAAUAAUGGUAGUUUGGAUUAUUAUGGCCACACAUAAAUAAACAAAUAAAUUGUU
Mesocricetus auratus (golden hamster) is the source of this 5889-nucleotide RNA transcript. It is a transcript of the gene named major facilitator superfamily domain containing 8, with no coding region annotated. The record is from RefSeq and is a predicted model, not a curated record. Lineage: Eukaryota; Metazoa; Chordata; Mammalia; Rodentia; Cricetidae. The transcript is spliced from 14 exons.